GGCGGCGGCAACCAACCCCCCGAUCGAGCAUAGCCGCGGGAAACUGCGGGUAAUUCUCGGCGAACAUCGCGGAAAGGACAUCCUUCUGCGAUCAAAGGUGCGAUUCCGUCGGGGGACGGACCGCCGUGGUAUCAGCUUGUUGGCGGGGUAAUGGCCCACCAAGGCUAUGACGCCUACCGGGCGUGCGAGCGUGGCCCGGCACACUGGGACUGAGACACUGCCCAGACUCCUACGGGAGGCUGCAGUCGAGAAUCUUCGGCAAUGGGCGCAAGCCUGACCGAGCGACGCCGCGUGGGGGACGAAGGCCUUCGGGUUGUAAACCCCUGUCGAGAGGGAGGAAGAGGGUGUGCAGAACACUCUUUGACCGAUCUCUGGAGGAAGCACGGGCUAAGUUCGUGCCAGCAGCCGCGGUAAGACGAACCGUGCGAACGUUAUUCGGAAUCACUGGGCUUAAAGCGCGUGUAGGCGGCCCGGCACGUCAUUGGCUGAAAUCCCCCGGCUCAACCGGGGAAGUGGCCGUGAUACGACCGGGCUGGAGGGGGGGAGGGGGGGUGCGGGAACUCACGUUGGAGCGGUGAAAUGCGUUGAGAUCGUGAGGAACGCCCGCGGCGAAAGCGCGCACCUGGACCCCACCUGACGCUGAGACGCGAAAGCCAGGGGAGCGAACGGGAUUAGAUACCCCGGUAGUCCUGGCCGUAAACCAUGAGCACUGGGGUA
RNAcentral lists this ribosomal RNA (717 nucleotides) under uncultured bacterium. RNAcentral's name for it is "bacterial SSU rRNA". It matches the Rfam family "Bacterial small subunit ribosomal RNA", at positions 114 to 823 of the family's 1533-position model. The record is from RNAcentral.